AUCCCCUGGGGAUCUUGUUAAAAGGAAGAUUCUGAUUCAGUAGUUCUGAGGUGGGGCCUGAGAUUCUGCAUUUAUAACCAGCCCCCCAGUGAUGCCAA
This 98-nucleotide microRNA precursor is filed under the name Loxodonta africana (African savanna elephant). RNAcentral describes it as "mir-544 microRNA precursor family". It matches the Rfam family "mir-544 microRNA precursor family". The record is from Rfam by way of RNAcentral. Lineage: Eukaryota; Metazoa; Chordata; Mammalia; Proboscidea; Elephantidae.